RNAcentral lists this ribosomal RNA (253 nucleotides) under uncultured bacterium. Its description in RNAcentral is "partial 16S ribosomal RNA". It matches the Rfam family "Bacterial small subunit ribosomal RNA", at positions 524 to 776 of the family's 1533-position model. The record is from RNAcentral.
UACGUAGGAGACGAGCAUUGUCCGGAAUUACUGGGCGUAAAGCGCGUGUAGGCGGAUGAGCAAGUCUGCUGUGAAAGCUCCUGGCUUAACCGGGAGUGGUCGGUGGAAACUGCUCGUCUGGAGGACGGUAGAGGUAGGUAGAAUUCCCGGUGUAGUGGUGAAAUGCGUAGAGAUCGGGAGGAAUACCUGUGGCGAAGGCGGCCUACUGGGCCGGACCUGACGCUGAGACGCGAAGGCGUGGGGAGCGAACGGG